CCCUACGGGGUGCAGCAGGCCUUGCAAAGGCUAUAAAAGAAUUGUACUUUAGCAGAAACCUUAUCUAUAGUGAAAAAAUCCUGGAUAUAUCUCAUCACCAACAAACGCAACGGGGUUCUCUAUACCGGGAUGACAGCCCACCUGAAAGAUCGCAUUACAAAUCAUAAAAUCAAAAAGUAUAAAAAUGCUUUUUCUGCCAGAUACAAUUUAUGCAAGCUGGUUUAUUAUGAAGAGUUUGAUGACAUAAGAAAGGCAUAUGCGCGGGAAGCCCAGAUUAAGGCAGGUUCCCGCAUAAAAAAAAUUAAGCUGAUCGAAUCAGUGAACCCCGAAUGGAAAGAUCUUUUUGAAACACUUGAAUGAAAAAUUAACGGGAUUUCUUCGCACUCCUGCGGGCGGUGUGGGUCCCUGGCGGGGGGGC
RNAcentral lists this ribosomal RNA (418 nucleotides) under uncultured prokaryote. Its description in RNAcentral is "partial 16S ribosomal RNA". The record is from RNAcentral.